Sarcophilus harrisii (Tasmanian devil) is the source of this 1055-nucleotide long non-coding RNA. RefSeq lists it as uncharacterized. The transcript is spliced from 3 exons. Lineage: Eukaryota; Metazoa; Chordata; Mammalia; Dasyuromorphia; Dasyuridae. The record is from RefSeq and is a predicted model, not a curated record.
CCAGCCCAACCCACCCGGGCGCGGUCAGGUACUGAGAGAAAGAGAAAGAGAGAUCCUGGGGGCCCCAGCUCAGAAGGGAACAGGCAGGGAGUGGGGCAUCUGGCAGGCCGUCAGCUAGUCGACUGCAGCCAAGGAAUAUAGACAAGCCUCCUGGAACUUGAAGCCAAAGCUCUUCUGCUUCCCAGAACAGAACUGUAGGGAGAGGGAACAAACAGUUUCUGUUUAAAAUAUUAGGUUAUGUAUUAAUAAUAUUUCUCCUGAUCGAUUUAUCUAUUCGCUUGUUUUGGACUAAAAUGCCACCCACCAUUUUGAUAUCUUCUGGAUGCUUAGUCAUCCCUUGUAAAUGUGGAUGACCUCAGAUGUACAGUGUUAAGGGAAUGUGGAAUGGAAAGAUCUGGCUGAAUCCAUUCAUUCCUUUAACAUGCUUAUUUAGCAUCUACUGCAUCUUUCUAAGGCCUGAAACUACAAACAAACAAAAAUUCCUGCUUUCAAGGGGCUUAUUCUCUAAAGGGAGAAACAUACAUAAAAAUAACCAGGGGAUAUAACAUAUAGAUCUAAAUCUAUCUAUAUCCAUAUUAUCGAUCACAACAUCUUUAUCUGUCGAUAGCCACAAAUAGAUUAUAGGCAUAGCUUAUUAGAUGGGUAGAUACAUCUAUACAUUAUAGAUAUAUAACGUAUCUAGUUAUUUUCAUGAUGUUUUCCCCCUCAAGAAUAAAGAUAAGUUUAUGGAUAUAGAUAUAGAUAUAGAUAUGGAGAUAAAUAUCUCAUAUAUAUAAUAUAUGGGAGACACUAUUAGCUAUCUGGGACAAACUGGGAGAGAUCUAGUGCUGAAGCUGAGAUUUGAGCUGAGUCUUGAAAGAAGCCUGGAAGACUCAAAGGAAGAAGUAAAGAGAAGCAUUCCAGAGACAAGGAUGACAGGACCAGGCAUUCAUGUCUGAGGAAGAUGACUCCAUAUUAUCAAGCCAUCAUUUUUCAAUACUCUAAAUGCCCUGAGCUAAACCCCUUGUAGCUACUUGAGAAGAACAUGGACAAGAAUUACAGAGGAUGAGAAGGCU